RNAcentral lists this ribosomal RNA (314 nucleotides) under Ixodes scapularis (black-legged tick). RNAcentral's name for it is "partial 12S ribosomal RNA". The record is from RNAcentral. Lineage: Eukaryota; Metazoa; Arthropoda; Arachnida; Ixodida; Ixodidae.
AAAAUUUAUGAAUUAAAAAAUUUUGGCGGUAUUUUAAGCUUAUUAGAGGAAUUUGCUCUGUGAUGGACACAACGCCUUAAUCUUACUUAAUUUAGUAAUUUAAAUCAGUUUGUAUACCACUAUAUUAAUUAUAUUGAAUAGUUAUAUUUAAAAUUUUUUUAAAAAAAAUAUAUUAAGUCAAGGUGCAUCUAAUAAUUAUGAAUGAAGUGAAUUACAUUAAUUUUAAUGUAAUUUUUUACAUGAAAAAAUUAAUUAGGAUUUAAUAGUAAAAUACUAAUAUUAUGAGUAUUUGAAUCAAGCUCUAAAAUAUGCAC